RNAcentral lists this long non-coding RNA (397 nucleotides) under Homo sapiens (human). RNAcentral describes it as "non-protein coding lnc-TRAPPC12-5:1". The record is from RNAcentral. Lineage: Eukaryota; Metazoa; Chordata; Mammalia; Primates; Hominidae.
CUCGCGAUGCCCGAGUGCGCAUCAGAGGCGUCACUGUGGUGGGAGAAACACCUGGACCACGGUCCUUGCCCUGAGCUGCUUAGAAAACACAUAUUGGAUUAACUUCUCAGAAUAAAGAUUCCCCACUAGUGAAACUGUGCAGACUGCGCUACUAACGCGGACACUCCUUGCACACCUGCUUUGAGCUCACUAUUCCAGCACCGACACGGGGACGCUCACUAUUCCAGCACCGACGUGGGGACGCUCACUCACCGACAUGGGGACGCUCACUAUUCCAGCACCGACACGGGGAUGCUCACUAUUCCAGCACCGAAGCACCGACAAGGGGCACCGACACGGGGACGCUCACUAUUCCAGCACCCAGCACCGACACGGGGACGCUCACUAUUGCAGCACC